UGGUGGUAGGCUUAACACAUGCAGUCGUGCGAGAAGGUAUCUUCGGAUAUGAGUAGAGCGGCGGACGGGUGAGUAACGCGUAGGAAUCUACCUAGUAGAAGGGGAUAGCCCGGGGAAACUCGGAUUAAUACCGUAUACCUCCUUUGGGAGAAAGAGGGCCUCUCUUGAUGCUCUCGCUAUUAGAUGAGCCUGCGUAAGAUUAGCUUGUUGGUGAGGUAAUGGCUCACCAAGGCUACGAUCUUUAGCUGGUCUGAGAGGACGAUCAGCCACAUUGGGACUGAGACACGGCCCAGACUCCUACGGGAGGCAGCAGUGGGGAAUAUUGGACAAUGGGCGCAAGCCUGAUCCAGCCAUACCGCGUGUGUGAAGAAGGCUCUAGGGUUGUAAAGCACUUUAAGCAGGGAGAAAAAGUUAUAAGUUAAUACCUUAUAACCGUGAUGUUACCUGCAGAAUAAGCACCGGCUAAUUCCGUGCCAGCAGCCGCGGUAAUACGGAAGGUGCAAGCGUUAAUCGGAAUUACUGGGCGUAAAGCGCGCGUAGGUGGUUUGUUAAGUUGGAUGUGAAAGCCCUGGGCUCAACCUAGGAACUGCAUCCAAAACUAACUCACUAGAGUACGAUAGAGGGAGGUAGAAUUCAUAGUGUAGCGCUGGAAUGCGUAUAUAUUAUGAAGAGUCCCAGUGCCAGAAGGCGGCCUCCGGUAUCUGUACUGACACUGAGGUGCGAAAAGAUUGGAAAGCGAACAGGAAUAAGAAACCCGGGGAGGGCCACGC
RNAcentral lists this ribosomal RNA (770 nucleotides) under uncultured marine bacterium. RNAcentral describes it as "bacterial SSU rRNA". It matches the Rfam family "Bacterial small subunit ribosomal RNA", at positions 37 to 800 of the family's 1533-position model. The record is from RNAcentral.